Molecule: ribosomal RNA, 498 nt
Filed under: uncultured bacterium
Lineage: Bacteria
Description: bacterial SSU rRNA
Rfam family: Bacterial small subunit ribosomal RNA
Source: RNAcentral
GACGAACGCUGGCGGCGUGCUUAACACAUGCAAGUCGAGCGGGGAUGUAUGAUGGAAGCUUUCGGGUGGAAGUUAUAUAUUCUAGCGGCGGACGGGUGAGUAACGCGUGAGCAACCUACCCCAGAGCGGGGAAUAACACGGUGAAAGUCGUGCUAAUACCGCAUAAGACCACGGUUUCACAUGGAACUGAGGUAAAAGGAGAAAUCCACUCUGGGCUGGGCUCGCGUCUGAUUAGCUAGUUGGUGAGGUAACGGCCCACCAAGGCAACGAUCAGUAGCCGGCCUGAGAGGGCGAUCGGCCACACUGGAACUGAGAGACGGUCCAGACUCCUACGGGAGGCAGCAGUGGGGAAUAUUGGGCAAUGGGGGAAACCCUGACCCAGCAACGCCGCGUGAGGGAAGAAGGCUUUCGGGUCGUAAACCUCUGUCCCAUGUGAAGAGAAGAAGACGGUAGCAUGGGAGGAAGCCCCGGCUAACUACGUGCCAGCAGCCGCAGUAA